This 800-nucleotide ribosomal RNA is filed under the name uncultured archaeon. Its description in RNAcentral is "bacterial SSU rRNA". It matches the Rfam family "Archaeal small subunit ribosomal RNA", at positions 81 to 883 of the family's 1478-position model. The record is from RNAcentral.
GCGUACUGCUCAGUAACACGUGGAUAACCUGCCCUUAGGACUGGCAUAACCCCGGGAAACUGGGGAUAAUUCCGGAUAGUUCAUGGUAGUUGGAAUGCUCCAUGAUCGAAAGCUAUUGCGCCUAAGGAUGGGUCUGCGGUCUAUCAGGUAGUAGUGGGUGUAAUGUACCUACUAGCCGACGACGGAUACGGGUUGUGGGAGCAAGAGCCCGGAGAUGGAUUCUGAGACAUGAAUCCAGGCCCUACGGGGCGCAGCAGGCGCGAAAACUUUACAAUGCGGGAAACCGCGAUAAGGGGACACCGAGUGCCAGCAUCUUAUGUUGGCUGUCCGCAUGUAUAAAUCACAUGUGUUAGCAAGGGCCGGGCAAGACCGGUGCCAGCCGCCGCGGUAACACCGGCGGCCCGAGUGGUGGCCACUAUUAUUGGGUCUAAAGGGUCCGUAGCCGGUUUGGUCAGUCUUCCGGGAAAUCUGACGGCUUAACCGUUAGGCUUUCGGGGGAUACUACCAGGCUUGGGACCGGGAGAGGUAAGAGGUACUACGGGGGUAGGAGUGAAAUCUUGUAAUCCUCGUGGGACCACCAGUGGCGAAGGCGUCUUACCAGAACGGGUCUGACGGUGAGGGACGAAAGCUGGGGGCACGAACCGGAUUAGAUACCCGGGUAGUCCCAGCCGUAAACUAUGCUCGCUAGGUGUCAGGGACGGUGCGACCGUUUCUGGUGCCGCAGGGAAGCCGUGAAGCGAGCCACCUGGGAAGUACGGUCGCAAGGCUGAAACUUAAAGGAAUUGGCGGGAAUCACUAGU